Non-coding RNA from Pelobates cultripes (western spadefoot toad), 115 nucleotides. Lineage: Eukaryota; Metazoa; Chordata; Amphibia; Anura; Pelobatidae. The record is from the annotation of a GenBank genome assembly.
UCUCUUGGUUUGCUGGCAGUGUACGUGAUAUGUAUAUUUCUUGGUUUGAUGGCAGUGUACGUGACAACAGAUUAAAACUAUACAUAUCACGUACACUGCCAUCAAACCAAGAAAU